GGAUGUGAUCAUACCAGCAGUAAAGCACCGGAUCCCAUCAGAACUCCGAAGUUAAGUGUGCUUGGGCGAGAGUAGUACUAGGAUGGGUUCCCUCUUGGGAAGUCCUUGUGUUGCAUUCC
Triticum aestivum (bread wheat) is the source of this 119-nucleotide non-coding RNA. Lineage: Eukaryota; Viridiplantae; Streptophyta; Magnoliopsida; Poales; Poaceae. The record is from Rfam.